This 354-nucleotide ribosomal RNA is filed under the name uncultured Anoxybacillus sp. Its description in RNAcentral is "bacterial SSU rRNA". It matches the Rfam family "Bacterial small subunit ribosomal RNA", at positions 1027 to 1382 of the family's 1533-position model. The record is from RNAcentral. Lineage: Bacteria; Bacillati; Bacillota; Bacilli; Caryophanales; Anoxybacillaceae.
CAGGGUGACAGGUGGUGCAUGGUUGUCGUCAGCUCGUGUCGUGAGAUGUUGGGUUAAGUCCCGCAACGAGCGCAACCCUCGACCUUAGUUGCCAGCAUUCAGUUGGGCACUCUAAGGUGACUGCCGGCUAAAAGUCGGAGGAAGGUGGGGAUGACGUCAAAUCAUCAUGCCCCUUAUGACCUGGGCUACACACGUGCUACAAUGGGCGGUACAAAGGGUCGCGAACCCGCGAGGGGGAGCCAAUCCCAAAAAGCCGCUCUCAGUUCGGAUUGCAGGCUGCAACUCGCCUGCAUGAAGCCGGAAUCGCUAGUAAUCGCGGAUCAGCAUGCCGCGGUGAAUACGUUCCCGGGCCUU